RNAcentral lists this non-coding RNA (32 nucleotides) under Heyndrickxia ginsengihumi J57. RNAcentral describes it as "L31-Firmicutes ribosomal protein leader". It matches the Rfam family "L31-Firmicutes ribosomal protein leader". The record is from RNAcentral. Lineage: Bacteria; Bacillati; Bacillota; Bacilli; Caryophanales; Bacillaceae.
CUCUGUUUCGCAAUGAUUCAGGGCUGAAGGAG